AAAAAGCUGAACUCAAUAUUCCCCUCAAAUCGCCUGGCCCGAGAGGAGGAAAAGUGACCAGAAGAAUGUGGAGAUGCAAGAAGAGACCUUGGCGUGGAAUGCAUAUGUUAUAUAGAAUAUUUCAUUCGCUGCUUUACUGCAAUUCAAGAUGCCAUCAUGCACGUGGACAUCAGAGGUGAAUUAUAUACGUACAAGGUGCCAAAGGACCCACAGAGAGAGAAAACAGACGGCACGGUCACUUCAACGAUGUUCUUUCGCCUUCUAACAAUGAGGAGGUACUUGAAAUCACCAGAAUAACCAGAUUUGCUUCAAAUCACUUUAAUAAGAAGUGGCUGAUGUUCGUGGAUGACCA
Ornithorhynchus anatinus (platypus) is the source of this 352-nucleotide long non-coding RNA. RefSeq lists it as uncharacterized. NCBI's taxonomy places the organism in Eukaryota, Metazoa, Chordata, Mammalia, Monotremata, Ornithorhynchidae. The record is from RefSeq and is a predicted model, not a curated record. The transcript is spliced from 3 exons.